Molecule: long non-coding RNA, 4616 nt
Filed under: Sus scrofa (pig)
Lineage: Eukaryota; Metazoa; Chordata; Mammalia; Artiodactyla; Suidae
Description: lncRNA (ENSSSCG00000048831.2)
Source: RNAcentral
UUUUUACAGAAUAAAAUACAUAUAUUUAAACACAAUUACAUUCACACAGAUUAUUAUAUCAUGGAUCUUAAGAAAGAGAUUAAGUGACUCCCUCUGGAGAAGUGGAAUGGAAAAUAUGCUGAGACAAAUAGGAAAUUUAUUCUAUGCUUUAUCCCAUUUUGUAUGGCUUUCAUCUUUACUAUUUAGUAUUAUCUAUUACAUUUCAAUUUUUCUUUAAAAAUUAGCUUUAUAUUAAAGUUGUGUAUAUUAUGUAACUAAAGUUUAUAAAGAAGGAAGCCUUAUAUACCAUUAAAUAUCUUAUAUAACAUAAUAAAAAGAAUAACUUGGGAGUUCCUAUCGUGGCGCAGUGGUUAACGAAUCCGACUAGGAACCAUGAGGUUGCGGGUUCGGUCCCUGCCAGUGGGUUAACGAUCCGGCGUUGCCGUGAGCUGUGGUGUAGGUUGCAGACGUGGCUCGGACUGUGGCCCUGGCAUAGGUUGGUGGUUACAGCUCCGAUUUGACCCCUAGCCUGGGAACUUCCCAUAUGCCGUGGGAGCGGCCCUAGAAAAGACAAAAAAAAAAAAAAAAAAGAAUAACUAGUAAGAAUAACAAAAAUAAUACACCCUCUGAAAAUAAGUAAAAUAUAAGAUGCACAAAUUGGUUAAAAAACAGUGUAACUAUAUAAAUAUGUCCUCACAAUUUGUUACAUCUUAUUGAUUCUUCAAUAUAGGCAUUACACCAUUCUAGGUGAUGUGAUAAACAAGACAUUAUAGACCUUACAUUGUACCAUGGAGAGAAAAGGUUAUUAAUAAUACAGUUGUAGAACUGUAUUAUUUAAUUGUACAGUUGCAUUAAUUAUAAUUAUCAUAAAUUCUUUCUGAUUUAUCUCCAGGAAAUCAGAAUCAGUUUUAAGAAGACUUCAGCAUUCCAAGAAUGAUGUCAAAUGACCCCCUUCAUGGUGGAUUAUGCACUUAUUUACUAUUAGAUAUAUUUCUUCUCCAGAGAUUCCUUGUUUGUGUAUCAGUUGUAGAUUUUUGGUUUGCAGUUACUCUGAAGUUUUGAUAUAAGAGUCUACAUGUAUAUGAGAUUGUUUUAAGUUGUUGGUCUCUUCACUGCAAGUUCAUCUCCAGUGUCCUGCAUUUGUACCCACCUCUUCUCAUGAUUUCUGAUUUUGGUGGUAUAAUUGUGCAUGGAUGAUUUCGUAUCUUUACUGUAUAUAUACCGUUACUGGUGAGCCUUGUCAUUUGUGGAAUUUUUGUUUCUGAUUGUGGCCUUUUCUUUUCUGCCUAGAGAAGUUCCUUUAGUGUUUGUUGUAAGGCUGGUUUAGUGUUGCUGAAUUCUUUCAACUUUUGCUUAUCUGUGAAGGUUUUGAUUUCUCUUUCAAUUCUGAAGGAGAGCCUUGCUGGGUAAAGUAAUCUUGGUUGGAGGUUUUUCCCUUUCAUCACGUAAGUAUGUCAUGCCACUCCCUUCUCUCCUGCAGAGUUUCUGCUGAAAAACCUGCCGACAACCUUAUUGGGGUUCCCUUGUAUGUUACUUGUUUCUUUUCCCUAGCUGCUUUCAAGAUUUUCUCUUUGUCUUUAAUUUUGGUUAGUUUGAUUAAUAUGUGUCUUGGUGUAUUCCUCCUUGGGUUUAUUUUAUGUUGUACUCGUUGUGCUUCCUGGAUUUGAGUGAGCGGUUCCUUUCCUAUGUUAGGGAAGUUUUCAGCUAUUAUCUUUUGGAAUAUUUUUUCUGUCCCUUUCUCUCUCUCUUCUCCUUCUGGCACCCCUAUAAUACGGAUGUUGGUGUGUUUCACAUUGUCUCAGAGUUCUCUGAGACUGUCUUCAUUUGUUUUCAAUCUUCUUUCUCUUUUCUGUUCUGCAUCUGUAAUUUCCACUAAUCUGUCCUCCACCUCGCUUAUUCGUUCUUCUGCCUCUAGUAUCCUGCUGUUAGCUGCUUCUAGUGAGUUUUUUAUUUCAGUUAUUGUAUUUUGCAUCUCUUCUUAAGUUUUAUAUCUUGUAUCUCUUUGCUCAGUGUUUCCUGUAAGUUAUCCAUCUUUGCCUCCAGUUUCUUUCCAAUGUCUUGCAUCGACAAUCUAAAGUCUUUUUCCUGGAUGCUGAGAAUCUCCUCAUCGCUUAGCUGAUUUUCUGGGGUUUUUCCUUUCUCCCUCAUCUGAGUUAUAGUUCUCUGUCUUUUCAUUUUUAUAGGUUUUUGGUGUGGUGACCUUUUUACAGAUAAUAGAGUUGUAACCUCUCUUACUUCUGGUGUCUGCUCCCCUUGUGGCUGAAGUCAGUAUGGGAGCUUGCUGUAGGCUUCCUGAUGGGAGGGGCUGAUGCCUGCCCCCUGGUAGGUGGAGCUGAUUCUAACUCCUCUGGUGGGUGGGGCUUAGUCUCUGGAUGGGAUUAGAGGCAGCUGUGUGCCUGAGGGGUCUUUAGGCAGUGUGUUUACUGAGGGGUGGGGCUGUGAUCCCUCCUGGAUUGUUGUUUGCCCUGGGGCUUCUCAGGCUGAUGGGUGGGGCCAGAUUGUCCCCAAAAGGUCACCUCCAGAGAAAGGCACAGCUGCUGAAUAUUCCUGAGAGCUUUGCUUUCAAUGACCAUCCCUCACAACAAGCCACAUUCACCCCUGCUUUCCCAGGAUGUCCUCCAAGAACUGCAGUCAGGUUUGACCCAGCUUCCUAUGGAGACUUUGCUUUGCCCUGGGACCCAGUGCAUGUGAAAGUCCGUGUGCACCUUUUAAGAAUGGGGUCUCCGUUUCCCCCAGUCCCGUGGAGCUCCUGCGCACAAGCCCCACUGGCCUUCAAUGCCAGAUGCUCCAGGGACGCUUUCUCCCAGGGCCAGGUCCCCGCAUGUGAGGGUUUGAUGUGGGGCUCGGAACUCUCACUCCUGUAGGUGAGUCUCUGUGAACCAGUUAGUUUCCAGUCUGUGGAGCUUCCCACCCCGGAGGUAUGGGGUUGUUUAUACGGCAAAAUCGCCCCUCCUACCUCUUGAUGUGGCCUCUUCUUUUUCUUCUGGAGUAGGGUAUCUUUUUUAAGGUUUUCAGUCCAUUUGGGUGGAGAUUGCUCAGCCUUUAGUUGUGAAUUUUGUUGUUUUUAGGGGAGAAGUUGAGCUCCAGUCCUUCUAUUCCGCCAUCUUAAUCCUCUCUCCACUAGUCAGGUUCUUAACCAGCUGAGCCACAAUGGGAACUCUUUUUAUCUUCUCAUUCAGGCAACAUAUAUUCAUGAAGGUACCAUGUCAGGGACUGUGACAGGCUGACCAAGUCCCACCCUCUGGAGUUCAUAGCCCGGGGAGUGAGAAAGAAAACCCAAUAGGCUCUUCCCUCCCAGAGUGGCAGGGGCAGCAUGGGGGUGGGGAAUGCAAAGAGCUGAGGGCGAGAGAAGAAGGGCCUCUGUCCCUGUUUGGCAGCUGUCAGAGCAGGCUGCCUGGAGGAAGCGAUACACAGGCUGAGAUCUGAAGGACCAAUGAGAGGGCUGAGCAGGUGGAAUGGGAGGGAGGAGGUCUGGGAUGGGGGAGCAGCUUCCGGGUCUGGAGGCAGGAAGAGAAGGUGAGGAAGGCAGAGUGAGGAGCCCGGUGGGAUGCUGUGCUUGGGUCCUGGCCCUCCUCCCUGGCCUGGGAGAUGGAAAUAACUGAUCCCUCCUCUGGCCACCGUCCUGGCUGCUGACAGUCUCUCUCCUGGUACCGAUGGCCUCGGGCCUGGGGGAGGCUCUGGUGUGGAGCCUGGGGCGUCAGAAGCCGGUGGCCAGAGAGGGCCCUGGCUCUGGGACUGAAAUCCCUGGGGUGUCCUGGAGGCCACCUCGGCCAGAGCAUCUGCAGUCUCUGGACAGGGCUGGGCCCUGCAGAGUCUGGAAAAAAACACAGCACGCCUGGAAGGAUGAAGGCGGCUGGAAAUCUUGACAGGUUUCUGGGAUGUACAUUUGAGAACCCAGAGAUGACACAUGUCUUGCCUAAUUUCAGGACGGUGGAGGCGGAAGGGAGAGGCCAGCCGGGCAUGCCCGUGGGUCCAGGCGGGGGCAAGGGCCUCUGGCUGGCCGCCCCACCCCCCACCCCGUAGUUUCCGGCGUAAAAGAGCGAUGAGGUUUAUUUCCCUUCUGACAACGCGUCGAUUCGACUUGCCUACUCCGCUGGGCACCCCGGUGCAGAUGAAAGAGGGCGAUGCAUCAAACAUUAACGAUCUCUGCCCGGGAGGGGGUGUGCGGGCUGCAGGCGCCCUGCCCGGGGAUCUGCCAGCCUCGCAGCCUCGCUGGCUGAGGACCAGACCGCGCAGGCGCAGACGCGGCCUGGAAAGCAGAGCGGGGUGGGGGGGGGCAGAGGCCCUCUCCGUGCACACUCACCCCCACCCACACAUGAAAGCCGGCCCCGGGGGUGCCAGAAACUGACCACAGAUCAAUAUGCCUCCCUGAUCAGCUGCCUCGUGCCAGUGAGGCCUGCUGCGUGCCAGGCGGCGGGGAGGGGGGGUAAGCGUCUAUUUCAUCCUCCACAGCCUUCAGGGAGCUGCCAGCAGUUCGGACUGGACGUGGUGAUGCCUGCUGACCCUGGGCGUGAUGCUGGGUCAGCUCUGAGGGUCCCCGCUGCGGUCAGCCGUGCAGCCCACGCGUCUCCUAGGGGCACCUCUGUGGCCAGGCGUCAGGAGGGCUCAGAUCCGCUUCCCUGUGCGGCAGUGCUUCU